AUGCCAGGGCUUCUGCUUCUUUCUGUACAUACCUGUAUAUAUAGGGACAAGCCCAUAGGCAGAACUCAACACCAUCGCAGAGCAGCUUCUCUCAUCUUCUAUCUCCAGAGAGCAAACGAAAAAACUUCAGCUUCCAACACAAUCAUGGCACCCCACCUCAGGUCCACGAGUGUGCCUUCCAGCCCUCGAUCCGGCGAAACCGAUGUCGAUCAACAGCUGCAUAGCCUAAACACAGCCACCAUCUCUCCCUUAUCAACAAUUGGGACAGUGUGUGUUGGGCUAAGGAGGCUUGGAGACAUCUAUGACUGCAUCGAUGAGCUCACAUGCUUGCCUAGCAGCCAAAUUCUCCUCUGCAAAACGCAGCAAAGGAUUUCUGUGGAGCAAGAGCUCGAGCGCUCCCUUAUCUUGCUUGACCUCUGCAAUGUCGUGCAAGUCAGCUUUUCCGAGCUCAAGGCAAGCGUCCAAGACAUGCAGUUGGUUAUCAAGAGAGGAGAAGAUGCAGCUCUUCAGGUCAAGAUUCAGUCUUGGUUUCACCAGAUUAAGAAAGUGCAAAAAACGCUCAAGAAGAACACCAAGAAGUCUUCUUCGGCUGAUCUGGAGAGCUGCAGAGUGGUCAGGUUGUUGACUGAAGCUAGAGAAGCCGCUGUCACAAUGAUUGGAUCCUCAAUGGAACUCCUGUCGAAGCAAAUUGCACCACCGAAUUCUAACAAGUGGGCUCUUGUGUCAAAGGCAUUCCAGAAGAAAAGAGUUAAUUGCGAAGAGGAGCAACUGCAGGUGCUGGAGUUGGACAUCGUUGAUCUUGAGAGUGGAGUUGAGACUUUGUUCAGGAGAUUGAUUCAGAGCAGAGUCUCUCUUCUAAAUAUUCUCAGUUUGUAG
RNAcentral lists this ribosomal RNA (876 nucleotides) under Triticum aestivum (bread wheat). Its description in RNAcentral is "partial small subunit ribosomal RNA". The record is from RNAcentral. Lineage: Eukaryota; Viridiplantae; Streptophyta; Magnoliopsida; Poales; Poaceae.